UAACCUCAAUGAACCCCUAAAUUUAAAUUAUCUAAACUUUGUCUAUCAAAAACGAAGAAGACAUUGAAAAAAAAAAACCAUCCACGAAACGGAAGUAGUCUGUAGUUGUAUCUUGUUUACUUGUCACAAGAUAUUUCCAUUUCUCAUUUUCCUUGCAACAAGUUUCAAUUUCAGACAUAAUAACCUAGGCCUUUGGAUUUUCCUUUCUGCUACAAAAAUUCUAAAUAAAUUAGGUUGUCCAAAGCUCUAAUUUCUCAUUAAUUCUUUCAAUUAUUCUUUUCAAUAAUCGAUUUCCAAUUAUCUCAAAACUUCAAAAUUUUGAUUUAUUUUUUUGUUUCUUUCAACUAAUCACCCACACCAUCCAUGGCUACAAUGGUAGCUAUGGUAUCUUCUUCCACCAUAACUCAACAACCCUUUUCUUCAUUCACUCGUGGCUCAAUUCCCAUUUCAAAUCUCACCCCAUCACUCUCUUUCAAAUCAAGAUUAACCUUGUUGAAUCCACAACUCCGUGCUGCUUUGGUUGAAGCAAGACCAUCAUCAUCACAAACUUCAGUUUCUUUACCAAUACCACCACCUAAAGAUGGUUCCUUCAAGGUUCUUGCUCUUCCAAUGGAUCGUGCUGAUGAUAUUCAAGCUGAGGCAAAAGCUUUGACUCGUGCUGUCAAUGCGUCUGUUUAUAGUCCUCAACUUAUUUCCUCAAGAUAUGGUUCUAAACCCUUCAAGAUUUUUGGAAGGGCAUUUCAGAUUGUGUUUGGUUUGGGUUCUUUUGGGUUGAAGCUUUGGUGGGAGCAAAGAAAUGGAGUUGGUGAUAAGAAUAGAAGGAUUCGUGCUAUUGAGCUUAGGAAUAUAUUCACUAAGCUUGGACCAACUUUUGUCAAAUUGGGUCAAGGGUUAUCUACUAGGCCUGAUAUUUGUCCACCUGAGUAUCUGGAGGAGCUCUCUGAACUUCAAGAUGGUUUGCCAACGUUUCCUGACGACGAGGCUUUUGAAUGCAUUGAGAGGGAAUUGGGAUUAUCUCUUGACUCUAUUUACUCUUCAAUAUCAUCAUCGCCUAUUGCAGCUGCUAGUUUAGGUCAGGUUUAUAAAGCUCGGUUGAAGAACUCUGGGAAACUUGUUGCUGUCAAGGUGCAACGCCCUGGCAUCGAAGAAGCUAUAGGAUUGGAUUUCUACCUAAUAAGAGGUUUAGGGUUUCUGAUAAAUAAAUAUGUGGAUGUAAUCACAAGUGAUGUUGUUGCACUUAUUGAUGAAUUUGCAAGUAGAGUCUUUCAAGAGCUCAACUAUGUGCAGGAGGGACAAAAUGCAAGGAGAUUCAAAAAAUUGUAUGCCGACAAGGAAGAUAUCUUUGUUCCUGAUGUUUUUUGGGACUAUACAAGUGCAAAGGUACUAACAAUAGAUUGGGUUGAUGGAGUAAAAUUGAAUGAGCAAGAAGCAAUUGAAAGACAAGGACUAAACGUCUUGGAUCUCGUAAACACAGGCAUACAAUGUAGUCUCAGACAACUGCUCGAGUAUGGAUAUUUCCAUGCAGAUCCUCAUCCUGGUAACCUUUUGGCAACUCCCGAAGGAAAACUCGCUUUUCUUGAUUUCGGGAUGAUGAGUGAAACUCCUGAAGAAGCAAGAUAUGCGAUAAUUGGUCACGUUGUUCACUUGGUUAACCGAGACUAUGAAGCUAUGGCUCAGGACUACUAUGCUCUCGAUUUCUUAUCUAGGGAUGUUGAUGUAUCUCCAAUUGUUCCUGCACUACGUAACUUUUUUGACGAUGCACUUAAUUAUACUGUUAGUGAGCUUAACUUCAAAACAAUUGUGGACGGUCUCGGAAAUGUUUUGUAUCAAUAUCCAUUUAAUGUGCCAGCAUACUACGCAUUGAUAUUAAGGUCUCUCACUGUUUUAGAAGGUUUAGCACUUUAUGCCGAUCCAAAUUUUAAGGUGCUUGCAGCAUCAUAUCCCUACUUUGCUAAAAGACUCCUAACAGAUCCAAAUCCAUAUCUAAGGGAUGCUCUUAUUGAGUUGCUUUUCAAGGAUGGGAAGUUCAGAUGGAAUAGGCUUGAAAACCUUCUAGUACAAGGGAGAAAAGAUAGAGAUUUUUCUGCUAAAGAGGCUUUACAACCUGUCCUUCAGGUAUUGUUGAGUCCUGAUGGUGAAGUUUUGAGGAAUCUAGUUAUCAAAGAAGCUGUUCGCGUAUCUGAAGCUUUUACUCUCGGCACAAUUUCUGACACAUACCAGUAUAUUCCCGACUUUUUGAGGACCCUUGUCUUCAAUGGCAAUGCAAAGGAGCCACUUAUGAUGUCAGAAACCGAAAGGCAAAGCAUGAUUGAACUUCGAGAUCAAGUGAUUAGGAUAUGGAGGCUUCUGCAAUCGUCAAAUGAUUUUGAUCCAUCUCUUUUACAACCAAUACUACAGGUCCUUCAGCAACCUGAGGCACGCAGACUCGGUGGGCGUGUUGUGGGUGGAAUCACUCAACGGCUUGCUGCACGCUUUCUACUGCAACUACUUGGAGCACCAACAACAGCUUCUACAUAGAUUUUGUAUAACAGUAAAGGCUAAAUAAGGUUAUUGUAUACAUGGAAGAUAGGAGUUACUUAACACAUGAUUGAAAAUAUAAAAUUGAAGGACAAAACAUAUAUGCUUUUGGAGCAACCAAGACCCAAUGCAGGUGGUGUUCAAUAGCCAGUGCGAUUAUCGUGUCAAUUUUUCGAAGCAUCUAUACAUGCACAAAGGAAAGUACAUAGACUCCUUGUCAAUUACAUUUCCCCAUUUGGGUUAUGAGCCUUUCAUAACUGAUUAUGAUCACAAUCCAAAUUCUAUUUUCGCUGUACAAAUCAAGAUGUUUGUGGUUACUCUGAUUAAUGAUUACAAUAUCUUUUAGAGAAAA
Molecule: RNA transcript, 2869 nt
Organism: Cicer arietinum (chickpea)
Lineage: Eukaryota; Viridiplantae; Streptophyta; Magnoliopsida; Fabales; Fabaceae
Gene name: protein ACTIVITY OF BC1 COMPLEX KINASE 3, chloroplastic-like
Source: RefSeq, a predicted model, not a curated record